AUGCACCUACGGGGCGCAGCAGUGAGGAAUAUUGGUCAAUGGGCGAGAGCCUGAACCAGCCAAGUCGCGUGAGGGAAGACGGUCCUAUGGAUUGUAAACCUCUUUUGCCGGGGAGCAAAAAGCGGUACGUGUACCGCAUCGAGAGUACCCGGAGAAAAAGCAUCGGCUAACUCCGUGCCAGCAGCCGCGGUAAUACGGAGGAUGCGAGCGUUAUCCGGAUUUAUUGGGUUUAAAGGGUGCGAAGGCGGUCCGUUAAGUCAGAGGUAAA
This 268-nucleotide ribosomal RNA is filed under the name uncultured bacterium. RNAcentral describes it as "partial 16S ribosomal RNA". It matches the Rfam family "Bacterial small subunit ribosomal RNA", at positions 333 to 598 of the family's 1533-position model. The record is from RNAcentral.